AUUGAACGCUGGCGGCAUGCCUUACACAUGCAAGUCGAGCGGCAGCGCGCGGGCAACCCUGGCGGCGAGCGGCGGACGGGUGAGUAAUACAUCGGAACGUGUCCUUUCGUGGGGGAUAACCAGUCGAAAGACUGGCUAAUACCGCAUGAGAUCCCACGAUGAAAGCGGGGGACCGCAAGGCCUCGCGCGAUUGGAGCGGCCGGUGUCGGAUUAGCUAGUUGGCGGGGUAAAAGCCCACCAAGGCGACGAUCCGUAGCUGGUUUGAGAGAACGACCAGCCACACUGGGACUGAGACACGGCCCAGACUCCUACGGGAGGCAGCAGUGGGGAAUUUUGGACAAUGGGGGCAACCCUGAUCCAGCCAUGCCGCGUGUGUGAAGAAGGCCUUCGGGUUGUAAAGCACUUUCGGCCGGAACGAAAUCGCGCGGAUUAAUAACCCGCGUGGAUGACGGUACCGGAAGAAGAAGCACCGGCUAACUACGUGCCAGCCGCCGCAGUAA
RNAcentral lists this ribosomal RNA (500 nucleotides) under uncultured bacterium. Its description in RNAcentral is "partial 16S ribosomal RNA". It matches the Rfam family "Bacterial small subunit ribosomal RNA", at positions 29 to 523 of the family's 1533-position model. The record is from RNAcentral.